RNAcentral lists this ribosomal RNA (492 nucleotides) under Triticum aestivum (bread wheat). RNAcentral describes it as "partial small subunit ribosomal RNA". Lineage: Eukaryota; Viridiplantae; Streptophyta; Magnoliopsida; Poales; Poaceae. The record is from RNAcentral.
AUGGUCACCGGGCAGCGCCAAGACACGGGCUUUGCCCAAGAGCACCGUGCACCGCCACCAGGGCCGUCGCCCAGGCAUCCAAGACCUAGACACCACCGCACCCGAGACCCGCCGCUACCCCAACCAAAGAGACGAGCAAAAAAGGAUCCGCCUAUGCACCCCUGGCCCACCCCCGGCAUCGAGACCCAACAGGUCGACCAACACUGGCAUCCAUCGACCCAUCCUGCAGCCCGGAGCGUGAGACGAGAUCGGUCCUGCAGCACCGUGGGGCGGGGACGAGGUCAGUCCUGCUGCACCGUGCGCGAGACGAGCUCGAUCCGACGGCACUGUGCGCGAGACGAGCUCGGUCCUGCUGCACCGGGCGCGAGACGAGCGAUGAACCGUAGCUGGGAAAGGGCCAGCCCUUUGAAGGGAGAAGCGACCGAGCGCCGAGGAGAUGGAGUGAAGGCCGAAACGGUCCGAUCGCAGACAAGCCGACGCCGGAGAAGCUAG